CCCUUAGAUGUUCUGGGCCGCACGCGCGCUACACUGAAUGGAUCAACGUGUUUUCCCUUCCCGAGAGGGACGGGUAACCCGCUGAACCCCAUUCGUGGUAGGGAUCGGAGCUUGCAAUUGUUCUCCGUGAACCAGGAAUUCCCAGUAAGCGCAAGUCAUCAACUUGCAUUGAUUACGUCCCUGCCCUUUGUACACACCGCCCGUCGCACCUACCGAUUGAAUGGUCCGGUGAAGCCUCCGGAUUGGCGCGCACCUCGGUGCCGCCGAGAAGUUGGCUAAACCCUACCAUUUAGAGGAAGGUGAANUCGUAACA
RNAcentral lists this ribosomal RNA (313 nucleotides) under uncultured eukaryote. RNAcentral describes it as "partial 18S ribosomal RNA". It matches the Rfam family "Eukaryotic small subunit ribosomal RNA", at positions 1470 to 1796 of the family's 1831-position model. The record is from RNAcentral.